UUUCUCCCUUUCACACCAUUCCUUCCAACUUCUACUUUCCCGGCGAGCCACGGGGAUGUGGCUUUCUAUCUGUCCAGCAGCUCAGCUUGCAAUGCUUUGGGCGAGAUAAAACUUCCUGCCCCUUGUCUGAAUCUGCAGGAUUGGGGCAGUUGAAGGCAGAUGGCUCCCGGCAACCGUCCCUGCAGAGCCUUAAGCACACACUGAAGAGCAUGGUACCCGGCCCGGAGGAUGGACGGUGGAGCGAGGUUCGGGUGGGCAAAAAAGCCAGACACGGAGUGGCCUCGCUCCGGGGCAACCGGACAUAACUGGAAUAGAAACCUGGGUGGACUGUGCAGCCAGACAGCGCCGCCCCACCUCCGCUCACGCAGCCUCUGCCGCCCCCUGCCGGCUGCAGCUGGAGUUGCCGAAGCCACGAAGACCCCACUCCACCCCAACCCCAAGCCCAGGGCUGAGCUGAGAGUCCUGACCCCUGUUUCUGAUUUACCAAACCCACUUAAACUGCUCCAAGGACCGUGCUUGCUAGCCCAUUUACUUAAAAAAUGGACUUACAGGUCCUGCUUGGAGUUCGGAAGCAAACCAGAGACUUCCUGCUCAAAGAUUUUAAUUACUUGAGCACAAUGCUGAAGAUCUAAAUACUUAACAAAAUAUUUUGAUCUCCUAGGCAAUAUUAACCAGUUACUGGCUCUUCUCACCCACCGGGACAGUGGGAGAAAUCAGUGUGCACUAUGAACUGUGUUUAUCGGUUGGAAGAACAUGAAAUCAACUCUAUUCCCAAUUUCUUUCCGUCUGGUUGCUCCCAAUAAAGCUUUGAUUAGUGUUAAU
This 822-nucleotide long non-coding RNA is filed under the name Mus musculus (house mouse). RNAcentral's name for it is "RIKEN cDNA A730049N16 gene". Lineage: Eukaryota; Metazoa; Chordata; Mammalia; Rodentia; Muridae. The record is from RNAcentral.